GGCUGUUAGAAGAGGAGGGGGAGGGGAGAGGAAGGGAGAAGGGAAGAGGGAGAGAAGCACAGAGAGACUCAGAGGCCUGCAGCCCCCUGGGCCAGUGCUUGAGAAACAAUGUGCACUAAUGGGGCUUUGGAGGGUGGCAACAGGAGGCCCGGUGAAAUCCCCGGUGAGAGCAGCCUUUUCGCCGUGGCCUGCCGUGAAGCACUAUGGCAGCACCCACACCUGCCAGGACUGAAGAUGAAGAAACCGAGGCCCAGAGGGACUGACGCACUUGCUCGAGACCUACCCCAAGCCAGUCUGUUCUCUUAACGUCUAUUCUGCAGUUUGAUAUGUGACCAUUCACAGUGAGCUUGGUCAAUACAAAGAUGUUCCCAGAAACAUGUGUCAUCGUUAUAUAUUUAAUGUGCAGGAGAAAAAAAAUUAAAGUA
Molecule: long non-coding RNA, 425 nt
Filed under: Homo sapiens (human)
Lineage: Eukaryota; Metazoa; Chordata; Mammalia; Primates; Hominidae
Description: HSALNT0370945
Source: RNAcentral